This 207-nucleotide ribosomal RNA is filed under the name uncultured bacterium. RNAcentral describes it as "partial 16S ribosomal RNA". It matches the Rfam family "Bacterial small subunit ribosomal RNA", at positions 568 to 774 of the family's 1533-position model. The record is from RNAcentral.
CGCGCAGGCGGUCAGAUAAGUCGAAUGUGAAAGCCCCCGGCUCAACUGGGGAGGGUCAUUCGAUACUGUUCGACUCGAAGGCAGGAGAGGGAAGCGGAAUUCCCGGUGUAGUGGUGAAAUGCGUAGAUAUCGGGAGGAACACCAGUGGCGAAGGCGGCUUCCUGGCCUGUUCUUGACGCUGAGGCGCGAAAGCUAGGGGAGCAAACG